CAGUAGCCACGGUAAUACGAAGGGGGCUAGCGUUGCUCGGAAUCACUGGGCGUAAAGGGUGCGUAGGCGGGUCUUUAAGUCAGGGGUGAAAUCCUGGAGCUCAACUCCAGAACUGCCUUUGAUACUGAAGAUCUUGAGUUCGGGAGAGGUGAGUGGAACUGCGAGUGUAGAGGUGAAAUUCGUAGAUAUUCGCAAGAACACCAGUGGCGAAGGCGGCUCACUGGUCCAUUACUGACGCUGAGGUGCGAAAGCGUGGGGAGCAAACAGGAUUAGAUACCCCCGUAGUCCCUGUCUCUUAUAC
This 301-nucleotide ribosomal RNA is filed under the name uncultured bacterium. RNAcentral's name for it is "partial 16S ribosomal RNA". It matches the Rfam family "Bacterial small subunit ribosomal RNA", at positions 509 to 807 of the family's 1533-position model. The record is from RNAcentral.